GGCAACCUGGGAUGUUCGAUAACUCUUGUAAUUUUGAACCUACAAAACUUUAAACGGGAAACUUAUUAUCUCUGUAAUAUGUCAGGCCUCCGAUUAGCAGUGGAAGACAGAAAAGCAGAUGCGGUUACCCACCUAGCCGAAUCGCUAGGAGUCAAAAUACAGGAGCCGGCAUUUUGGGGAUGU
Molecule: non-coding RNA, 183 nt
Filed under: Lachnospiraceae bacterium
Lineage: Bacteria; Bacillati; Bacillota; Clostridia; Lachnospirales; Lachnospiraceae
Description: 6S RNA
Rfam family: 6S / SsrS RNA
About the family: E. coli 6S RNA was the first non coding RNA to be sequenced, but its function was unknown until recently.
Source: RNAcentral